This 429-nucleotide ribosomal RNA is filed under the name Chloroflexota bacterium. RNAcentral describes it as "Chloroflexi bacterium partial 16S ribosomal RNA". It matches the Rfam family "Bacterial small subunit ribosomal RNA", at positions 355 to 776 of the family's 1533-position model. Lineage: Bacteria; Bacillati; Chloroflexota. The record is from RNAcentral.
UGGGGAAUAUUGCACAAUGGGCGCAAGCCUGAUGCAGCCAUGCCGCGUGUAUGAAGAAGGCCUUCGGGUUGUAAAGUACUUUCAGCGGGGAGGAAGGGAGUAAAGUUAAUACCUUUACUCAUUGACGUUACCCGCAGAAGAAGCACCGGCUAACUCCGUGCCAGCAGCCGCGGUAAUACGGAGGGUGCAAGCAUUAAUCGGAAUUACUGGGCGUAAAGCGCACGCAGGCGGUUUGUUAAGUCAGAUGUGAAAUCCCCGGGCUCAACCUGGGAACUGCAUCUGAUACUGGCAAGCUUGAGUCUCGUAGAGGGGGGUAGGAUUCCAGGUGUAGCGGUGAAAUGCGUAGAGAUCUGGAGGAAUACCGGUGGCGAAGGCGGCCCCCUGGACGAAGACUGACGCUCAGGUGCGAAAGCGUGGGGAGCAAACAGG